Molecule: ribosomal RNA, 243 nt
Filed under: uncultured bacterium
Lineage: Bacteria
Description: partial 16S ribosomal RNA
Rfam family: Bacterial small subunit ribosomal RNA
Source: RNAcentral
UGGGUAACCUGCCUCAAAGAGGGGAAUAGCCUCCCGAAAGGGAGAUUAAUACCGCAUAAUAUGUUUUAAUCGCAUGAUUUUAACAUCAAAGGAUUUUCUUCGGAACUUCCACUUUGAGAUGGACCCCGCGGCGCAUUAGCUAGUUGGUGAGGUAACGGCUCACCAAGGCAACGAUGCGUAGCCGACCUGAGAGGGUGAUCGGCCACAUUGGAACUGAGACACGGUCCAGACUCCGUAGGGAGG